Non-coding RNA from Schistosoma rodhaini, 45 nucleotides. The record is from Rfam. NCBI's taxonomy places the organism in Eukaryota, Metazoa, Platyhelminthes, Trematoda, Strigeidida, Schistosomatidae.
AUUCAGCUGACGAGUCCCGAAUAGGACGAAACGCGCGUCCUGGAU